Non-coding RNA from Myotis brandtii (Brandt's bat), 141 nucleotides. The record is from Rfam. Lineage: Eukaryota; Metazoa; Chordata; Mammalia; Chiroptera; Vespertilionidae.
UUCAUUGUGCAGUGGCAGCAUCGUAGGCCGUGAGGGUUAUCUGAGUUGUGAUUAAUGCUAAUUGAAAACUUUUCACCUGGCUCCUAAUAUACAUAUUAGCUUUCUGUUUUAUUUUUUAAUUUCCCUGAGUAGAAUAGUAUA